Non-coding RNA from Artibeus jamaicensis (Jamaican fruit-eating bat), 68 nucleotides. Lineage: Eukaryota; Metazoa; Chordata; Mammalia; Chiroptera; Phyllostomidae. The record is from the annotation of a RefSeq genome assembly.
AAGAGAUAUUAGUAAAAUUUACAUAAUCUUGUCAAGGUUAAAUUAUGGGUGAAACCCCAUAUAUCUCU